GAGUGCUAGAACUGUAUUUUUAAAAAUGCAUCGUUGCAGAGUAGAUGCAAAAAAACCCUCAAAGGCUGAUAUUACAGGCUUGUGCAGAUGUAUAGAGGCAUGUUAUAGAAAUAUGUAUUAAGAAGUCCCUGGGUCCUAGGAGAAAGUAUCAAGUUGACUCUGGCUAGAAGCAAACAAAUUACCUUCGUGGUCCUGGUCCUUUCGUUCCACACAAUUAUCGACUGAGCUGAAGGAGAUCUCCCUAUAGCUGUGAGUAGUAAUGAGGCUUUAGCAUUUCUUUGCACAUUGCUGCUAGAGAGUGACCUCUCUCUCUAGAAGGCUCACCUUUUCAUUACAAAGGUGUUACUUCUUUUCUGCAUAUUUAAAGCACUGCUUGUGUUACUAUGCAAUCCCUUCACUGUAGAGUAACAGAAAAAUUCAAGCUGACAUAAGUUCCAACAAGCUUCUUUAACCUUGAAAGUGAAAGGUGUCCAGUAACAGGCAGGAGCUUUGAAAGACAGCGGAAGAAUAGAUUCAUUUUGGAUUGUACUCAGAAUGUUGUAUAAAUGAUCCAAGAAACUCAGAGAGAUGCCACAAACACCCCAUUAAGGAGAUACCAGUGACAGAAUGAGAGCUACUGUCCAAAACUGCUUGAGUUUUGACAGCAUUACAUGAUGGCAUCUGAGAUGUAUGUAGAUGUCAGCCAGUGAUAGUGUCCUUUGGUGAAGUCAUUUAUUCACCUGACACUGAUUUUUCCCCUUGUACCAGUGCAUGUACUCUCUUUGUGCGACAGAAUUGAUGUGAUCUUAUGAAAUUCCAAGAAAA
RNAcentral lists this long non-coding RNA (804 nucleotides) under Chrysolophus pictus (golden pheasant). Its description in RNAcentral is "lncRNA (ENSCPIG00010003526.1)". The record is from RNAcentral. Lineage: Eukaryota; Metazoa; Chordata; Aves; Galliformes; Phasianidae.